RNAcentral lists this ribosomal RNA (253 nucleotides) under uncultured bacterium. RNAcentral describes it as "partial 16S ribosomal RNA". It matches the Rfam family "Bacterial small subunit ribosomal RNA", at positions 524 to 776 of the family's 1533-position model. The record is from RNAcentral.
UACAGAGGUCUCAAGCGUUGUUCGGAUUCAUUGGGCGUACAGGGUGCGUAGGUGGCGCGGUAAGUCGGGUGUGAAAUUUCGGAGCUUAACUCCGAAACUGCAUUCGAUACUGCCGUGCUUGAGGACUGGAGAGGAGACUGGAAUUUACGGUGUAGCAGUGAAAUGCGUAGAGAUCGUAAGGAAGACCAGUGGCGAAGGCGGGUCUCUGGACAGUUCCUGACACUGAGGCACGAAGGCCAGGGGAGCAAACGGG